RNAcentral lists this long non-coding RNA (206 nucleotides) under Setaria viridis. RNAcentral describes it as "long non-coding RNA (SVIR_LNC003204)". The record is from RNAcentral. Lineage: Eukaryota; Viridiplantae; Streptophyta; Magnoliopsida; Poales; Poaceae.
UAUUAGCCCAAAAUGCUCCAGCCUCUCAAUCGGUCAAUCUCUACCAACUCUGUCCACCAAAACACUGCAGCACCAAUCGGCCGAUCUCCAACUGUAGCACCAAUCGGCCGAUUCCCAAUCGUGACCUUUUAACUUGCCGCAUCGGCCAAUCCUUUCCUCCUUGACGCUGAUUCCCUACGUGUCAAAAUCUGGCAUCAACACAUGCC